Molecule: non-coding RNA, 23 nt
Filed under: Arabidopsis thaliana (thale cress)
Lineage: Eukaryota; Viridiplantae; Streptophyta; Magnoliopsida; Brassicales; Brassicaceae
Source: RNAcentral
AGUAGGUUAUUGGUGCGCUUGGC